Molecule: transfer RNA, 76 nt
Filed under: Candidatus Atribacteria bacterium
Lineage: Bacteria; Pseudomonadati; Atribacterota; Atribacteria
Also listed under: 2 other names
Description: tRNA-Ala
Rfam family: tRNA
About the family: Transfer RNA (tRNA) molecules are approximately 80 nucleotides in length. Their secondary structure includes four short double-helical elements and three loops (D, anti-codon, and T loops).
Source: RNAcentral
GGGGCUGUAGCGCAGUUGGGAGCGCGUCUCCUUGGCGUGGAGAAGGUCACGGGUUCAACUCCCGUCAGCUCCACCA